UGACUGAGUGGCGGACGGGUGAGUAAUGUCUGGGAAACUGCCUGAUGGAGGGGGAUAACUACUGGAAACGGUAGCUAAUACCGCAUAACGUCGCAAGACCAAAGAGGGGGACCUUCGGGCCUCUUGCCAUCGGAUGUGCCCAGAUGGGAUUAGCUAGUAGGUGGGGUAACGGCUCACCUAGGCGACGAUCCCUAGCUGGUCUGAGAGGAUGACCAGCCACACUGGAACUGAGACACGGUCCAGACUCCUACGGGAGGCAGCAGUGGGGAAUAUUGCACAAUGGGCGCAAGCCUGAUGCAGCCAUGCCGCGUGUAGGAAGAAGGCCUUCGGGUUGUAAAGUACUUUCAGCGGGGAGGAAGGGAGUAAAGUUAAUACCUUUGCUCAUUGACGUUACCCGCAGAAGAAGCACCGGCUAACUCCGUGCCAGCAGCCGCGGUAAUACGGAGGGUGCAAGCGUUAUUCGGAAUUACUGGGCGUAAAGCGCACGCAGGCGGUUUGUUAAGUCAGAUGUGAAAUCCCCGGGCUCAACCUGGGACUG
RNAcentral lists this ribosomal RNA (538 nucleotides) under Escherichia coli. Its description in RNAcentral is "bacterial SSU rRNA". It matches the Rfam family "Bacterial small subunit ribosomal RNA", at positions 88 to 622 of the family's 1533-position model. Lineage: Bacteria; Pseudomonadati; Pseudomonadota; Gammaproteobacteria; Enterobacterales; Enterobacteriaceae. The record is from RNAcentral.